AAGAUGAAGGCGAUGAACCGCUUCUUCGAAGAGGGUGACAAGGUCAAGGUGACGCUGAAGUUCCGUGGCCGUGAAAUGGCGCACCAGGAACUCGGCCUGAAGCUUCUGCUGCAGGUGAAGGAAGAUACGCUUGGCGUCGCCAAGGUGGAAGCCGAGCCGAAGCUCGAAGGACGCCAGAUGAUGAUGGUUCUGGCGCCGAAGUAAGGCUGCCGGCCCGACGCUGCCGGGUCUGGUGACGUGGCAAAUCCCAUCAGCGCUUCACAAAAGCCGCCACAUGUCUGGCGGC
RNAcentral lists this unclassified non-coding RNA (286 nucleotides) under Rhizobium sp. RU20A. RNAcentral describes it as "Long range pseudoknot". Lineage: Bacteria; Pseudomonadati; Pseudomonadota; Alphaproteobacteria; Hyphomicrobiales; Rhizobiaceae. The record is from RNAcentral.